Molecule: long non-coding RNA, 338 nt
Organism: Hibiscus syriacus
Lineage: Eukaryota; Viridiplantae; Streptophyta; Magnoliopsida; Malvales; Malvaceae
Exons: 4
Source: RefSeq, a predicted model, not a curated record
CCUUUCACGAAAGAGCUAAUUGAAUAUUUGGAAGUAAGUGAUCAAGAAUUUAAGGAAGAUAUUACUGCCAAGAUAUGCUCCCUUGUUGAAAAGUUUUCCCCGGAGAAAAUUUGGUACAUUGAUCAGAUGCUCAAGGUUCUCUCUGAGGCUGGAAAUUUUGUAAAAGAUGAAGUCUGGCAUGCACUUAUCGUUGUCAUAAGUAAUGCUUCUGACCUCCAUGGAUAUACAGUCAGGGCAUUGUACAGAGCUUUUCAGGCAUCAACAGAACAGGAAUCCCUUGUUCGAGUGGCAGUUUGGUGUACUGGUGAAUAUGGUGACAUGUUGGUGGAUAAUGUUGG